GCCCCCAUAGCCCAACGGUAGAGGCAACGCGCUCAGAACGCGUCCAGUCCAGGUUCGAAUCCCGGUGGGGGCA
Transfer RNA from Saccharothrix espanaensis DSM 44229, 73 nucleotides. It matches the Rfam family "tRNA". Rfam says of the family: Transfer RNA (tRNA) molecules are approximately 80 nucleotides in length. Their secondary structure includes four short double-helical elements and three loops (D, anti-codon, and T loops). NCBI's taxonomy places the organism in Bacteria, Bacillati, Actinomycetota, Actinomycetes, Pseudonocardiales, Pseudonocardiaceae. The record is from Rfam.